GGAUCUGAUCCGGAAUGGAGCUGGGACGCUGGAAUGGAUGAGAAAAAUGGGGCUGCUUCGACGUGUUGUGAACGCGGACAGAAGAAGUGGAUCAUGCGUGGGAGGCUUGUAUGCGGAAAACUAGGAUCACGGACUCGGAACGGACGCCGGAUGACUGCCAUGUGUCCCUCGAGUGCAAGUGUGCUCGAUGAAUGGUGGGUUCGACCAUACCAUCGCAAAGUUGAGCGUGCGCGGCCUGAGCUGUGCAUCUUUCUAGACCCAAUCUGUACUAAAUGUGCAUUGUAACUUUAAUUUAUAAUAACUUGUGCCAAACAAAAAUAUAAUAUUAAACCAGUAAAUUUAUCAUUAUCAGUCAACUAUAACACUAAUUUAGUUGAUAUGUAGAUCGUACUAUUGUGCUCUCAUCAUACCCCCCAACUAGCUUAUUGCUAGUCUCUAGCAAUUAACGAGCAAACGAUAAAAUGAGGGCACAAAAGAUGUAGUCUAACCCAUGACUUUUUAUUGAAGCUAAGUACACAAAACUAAGAUAUGUACUCAUUUUCGUAGAGCAUCACGAUUGCACUUAGCACGUGCAACAAGUUUUUAAACCCCUAAGUUA
RNAcentral lists this long non-coding RNA (598 nucleotides) under Phoenix dactylifera (date palm). RNAcentral describes it as "long non-coding RNA (PDAC_LNC013662)". The record is from RNAcentral. Lineage: Eukaryota; Viridiplantae; Streptophyta; Magnoliopsida; Arecales; Arecaceae.